GGAGGCAUGGCUCAAGUGGUAGAGUGUCUACCUAGCAAGUGCAAAGCCCUGAGUUCAAAACUCAGUACUAUUU
Molecule: transfer RNA, 73 nt
Filed under: Dipodomys ordii (Ord's kangaroo rat)
Lineage: Eukaryota; Metazoa; Chordata; Mammalia; Rodentia; Heteromyidae
Rfam family: tRNA
About the family: Transfer RNA (tRNA) molecules are approximately 80 nucleotides in length. Their secondary structure includes four short double-helical elements and three loops (D, anti-codon, and T loops).
Source: Rfam by way of RNAcentral